This 2924-nucleotide ribosomal RNA is filed under the name Salmonella enterica subsp. enterica serovar Fresno. RNAcentral describes it as "bacterial LSU rRNA". It matches the Rfam family "Bacterial large subunit ribosomal RNA". The record is from RNAcentral. Lineage: Bacteria; Pseudomonadati; Pseudomonadota; Gammaproteobacteria; Enterobacterales; Enterobacteriaceae.
GGGUUGUGAGGUUAAGCGACUAAGCGUACACGGUGGAUGCCCUGGCAGUCAGAGGCGAUGAAGGGCGUGCUAAUCUGCGAUAAGCGCCGGUAAGGUGAUAUGAACCGUUAUAACCGGCGAUACCCGAAUGGGGAAACCCAGUGUGAUUCGUCACACUAUCAUUAACUGAAUCCAUAGGUUAAUGAGGCGAACCGGGGGAACUGAAACAUCUAAGUACCCCGAGGAAAAGAAAUCAACCGAGAUUCCCCCAGUAGCGGCGAGCGAACGGGGAGGAGCCCAGAGCCUGAAUCAGCAUGUGUGUUAGUGGAAGCGUCUGGAAAGGCGCGCGAUACAGGGUGACAGCCCCGUACACAAAAGCGCAUGUGCUGUGAGCUCGAUGAGUAGGGCGGGACACGUGGUAUCCUGUCUGAAUAUGGGGGGACCAUCCUCCAAGGCUAAAUACUCCUGACUGACCGAUAGUGAACCAGUACCGUGAGGGAAAGGCGAAAAGAACCCCGGCGAGGGGAGUGAAAAAGAACCUGAAACCGUGUACGUACAAGCAGUGGGAGCACCCUUUGGGGUGUGACUGCGUACCUUUUGUAUAAUGGGUCAGCGACUUAUAUUCUGUAGCAAGGUUAACCGUAUAGGGGAGCCGGAGGGAAACCGAGUCUUAACCGGGCGUUAAGUUGCAGGGUAUAGACCCGAAACCCGGUGAUCUAGCCAUGGGCAGGUUGAAGGUUGGGUAACACUAACUGGAGGACCGAACCGACUAAUGUUGAAAAAUUAGCGGAUGACCUGUGGCUGGGGGUGAAAGGCCAAUCAAACCGGGAGAUAGCUGGUUCUCCCCGAAAGCUAUUUAGGUAGCGCCUCGUGAAUUCAUCUCCGGGGGUAGAGCACUGUUUCGGCUAGGGGGCCAUCCCGGCUUACCAACCCGAUGCAAACUGCGAAUACCGGAGAAUGUUAUCACGGGAGACACACGGCGGGUGCUAACGUCCGUCGUGAAGAGGGAAACAACCCAGACCGCCAGCUAAGGUCCCAAAGUCAUGGUUAAGUGGGAAACGAUGUGGGAAGGCCCAGACAGCCAGGAUGUUGGCUUAGAAGCAGCCAUCAUUUAAAGAAAGCGUAAUAGCUCACUGGUCGAGUCGGCCUGCGCGGAAGAUGUAACGGGGCUAAACCAUGCACCGAAGCUGCGGCAGCGACACUGUGUGUUGUUGGGUAGGGGAGCGUUCUGUAAGCCUGCGAAGGUGGCCUGUGAGGGUUGCUGGAGGUAUCAGAAGUGCGAAUGCUGACAUAAGUAACGAUAAAGCGGGUGAAAAGCCCGCUCGCCGGAAGACCAAGGGUUCCUGUCCAACGUUAAUCGGGGCAGGGUGAGUCGACCCCUAAGGCGAGGCCGAAAGGCGUAGUCGAUGGGAAACGGGUUAAUAUUCCCGUACUUGGUGUUACUGCGAAGGGGGGACGGAGAAGGCUAUGUUGGCCGGGCGACGGUUGUCCCGGUUUAAGCGUGUAGGCUGGUUUUCCAGGCAAAUCCGGAAAAUCAAGGCUGAGGCGUGAUGACGAGGCACUACGGUGCUGAAGCAACAAAUGCCCUGCUUCCAGGAAAAGCCUCUAAGCAUCAGGUAACAUCAAAUCGUACCCCAAACCGACACAGGUGGUCAGGUAGAGAAUACCAAGGCGCUUGAGAGAACUCGGGUGAAGGAACUAGGCAAAAUGGUGCCGUAACUUCGGGAGAAGGCACGCUGACACGUAGGUGAAGUGAUUUACUCACGGAGCUGAAGUCAGUCGAAGAUACCAGCUGGCUGCAACUGUUUAUUAAAAACACAGCACUGUGCAAACACGAAAGUGGACGUAUACGGUGUGACGCCUGCCCGGUGCCGGAAGGUUAAUUGAUGGGGUCAGCGCAAGCGAAGCUCCUGAUCGAAGCCCCGGUAAACGGCGGCCGUAACUAUAACGGUCCUAAGGUAGCGAAAUUCCUUGUCGGGUAAGUUCCGACCUGCACGAAUGGCGUAAUGAUGGCCAGGCUGUCUCCACCCGAGACUCAGUGAAAUUGAACUCGCUGUGAAGAUGCAGUGUACCCGCGGCAAGACGGAAAGACCCCGUGAACCUUUACUAUAGCUUGACACUGAACAUUGAGCCUUGAUGUGUAGGAUAGGUGGGAGGCUUUGAAGUGUGGACGCCAGUCUGCAUGGAGCCGACCUUGAAAUACCACCCUUUAAUGUUUGAUGUUCUAACGUGGACCCGUAAUCCGGGUUGCGGACAGUGUCUGGUGGGUAGUUUGACUGGGGCGGUCUCCUCCUAAAGAGUAACGGAGGAGCACGAAGGUUGGCUAAUCCUGGUCGGACAUCAGGAGGUUAGUGCAAUGGCAUAAGCCAGCUUGACUGCGAGCGUGACGGCGCGAGCAGGUGCGAAAGCAGGUCAUAGUGAUCCGGUGGUUCUGAAUGGAAGGGCCAUCGCUCAACGGAUAAAAGGUACUCCGGGGAUAACAGGCUGAUACCGCCCAAGAGUUCAUAUCGACGGCGGUGUUUGGCACCUCGAUGUCGGCUCAUCACAUCCUGGGGCUGAAGUAGGUCCCAAGGGUAUGGCUGUUCGCCAUUUAAAGUGGUACGCGAGCUGGGUUUAGAACGUCGUGAGACAGUUCGGUCCCUAUCUGCCGUGGGCGCUGGAGAACUGAGGGGGGCUGCUCCUAGUACGAGAGGACCGGAGUGGACGCAUCACUGGUGUUCGGGUUGUCAUGCCAAUGGCACUGCCCGGUAGCUAAAUGCGGAAGAGAUAAGUGCUGAAAGCAUCUAAGCACGAAACUUGCCCCGAGAUGAGUUCUCCCUGAGACUUAGAGUCUCCUGAAGGAACGUUGAAGACGACGACGUUGAUAGGCCGGGUGUGUAAGCGCAGCGAUGCGUUGAGCUAACCGGUACUAAUGAGCCGUGAGGCUUAACCUUACAACGCCGAAG